AUUGAACGCUGGCGGCAUGCUUUACACAUGCAAGUCGAACGGUAACAGGUCUUCGGAUGCUGACGAGUGGCGAACGGGUGAGUAAUGUAUCGGAACGUGCCCAGUAGUGGGGGAUAACUACUCGAAAGAGUGGCUAAUACCGCAUGAGAACUGAGGUUGAAAGCGGGGGACCUUCGGGCCUCGCGCUACUGGAGCGGCCGAUAUCAGAUUAGGUAGUUGGUGGGGUAAAGGCCUACCAAGCCGACGAUCUGUAGCUGGUCUGAGAGGACGACCAGCCACACUGGGACUGAGACACGGCCCAGACUCCUACGGGAGGCAGCAGUGGGGAAUUUUGGACAAUGGACGCAAGUCUGAUCCAGCAAUGCCGCGUGCAGGACGAAGGCCUUCGGUUGUAACUGCUUUUAUAUGGAGCAAUAAGGUCUACGUGUAGACUGAUGAGAGUACCAUAUGAAUAAGCAUCGGCGUAACUCCGUGCCAGCAGACCCGG
Molecule: ribosomal RNA, 487 nt
Filed under: uncultured bacterium
Lineage: Bacteria
Description: bacterial SSU rRNA
Rfam family: Bacterial small subunit ribosomal RNA
Source: RNAcentral